GGUUUCUUAAGUCUGAUGUGAAAGCCCCCGGCUCAACCGGGGAGGGUCAUUGGAAACUGGGGAACUUGAGUGCAGAAGAGGAGAGUGGAAUUCCACGUGUAGCGGUGAAAUGCAUAGAGAUGUGGAGGAACACCAGUGGCGAAGGCGACUCUCUGGUCUGUAACUGACGCUGAGGCGCGAAAGCGUGGGGAGCGAACAGGAUUAGAUACCCUGGUAGUCCACGCCGUAAACGAUGAGUGCUAAGUGUUAGAGGGUUUCCGCCCUUUAGUGCUGCAGCAAACGCAUUAAGCACUCCGCCUGGGGAGUACGGUCGCAAGACUGAAACUCAAAGGAAUUGACGGGGGCCCGCACAAGCGGUGGAGCAUGUGGUUUAAUUCGAAGCAACGCGAAGAACCUUACCAGGUCUUGACAUCCUCUGACAACCCUAGAGAUAGGGCUUCCCCUUCGGGGGCAGAGUGACAGGUGGUGCAUGGUUGUCGUCAGCUCGUGUCGUGAGAUGUUGGGUUAAGUCCCGCAACGAGCGCAACCCUUGAUCUUAGUUGCCAGCAUUCAGUUGGGCACUCUAAGGUGACUGCCGGUGACAAACCGGAGGAAGGUGGGGAUGACGUCAAAUCAUCAUGCCCCUUAUGACCUGGGCUACACACGUGCUACAAUGGGCAGAACAAAGGGCAGCGAAGCCGCGAGGCUAAGCCAAUCCCACAAAUCUGUUCUCAGUUCGGAUCGCAGUCUGCAACUCGACUGCGUGAAGCUGGAAUCGCUAGUAAUCGCGGAUCAGCAUGCCGCGGGUGAAUACGUUCCCCGGGCCUUGUACACACCGCCCGUCACACCACGAGAGU
RNAcentral lists this ribosomal RNA (836 nucleotides) under Bacillus sp. STR10. RNAcentral describes it as "bacterial SSU rRNA". It matches the Rfam family "Bacterial small subunit ribosomal RNA", at positions 577 to 1411 of the family's 1533-position model. Lineage: Bacteria; Bacillati; Bacillota; Bacilli; Caryophanales; Bacillaceae. The record is from RNAcentral.